GUGAUUAUCGCUAUCCAACGGGCCAGAUCAGAUCGGGUCGGUCGCUACCAUUUACGAGCAGGCGUCGUGCAAGUAGCAAACGCCAUCGUUAUCCCAUCGGUUUUUUUUUUGUUUACACAGUAUAGACGCGGGCGUUCAUGUAUACACGUAUAUACUUAUUCCUAUAAACACACAUAGACCCUACCCCUCUGAGCAUUUUUCGAGAAAGUGAGCCGGCAUAUCAUCUUGAGAUUGACGAAGUCACCACGCGCACCUUAUAGUCGACGUGAACGUCUCCUCCCACUGAACGCGCAUCGUCGAUAAUUCUAAAAUAAAUUCAUGAAUAAUGCAAGCAUCAGGACUUGAACCAUGAUGGGCUAGGAUACCACUGUCCUCCUAAGCAUCCAACCACAUAUUGGUUCGCUCGUCAUCCCAUCGUUGUUGCAUAGCCAAUGGUGAUGGCCAGUUGGCAAUAGCUACCAUAAAGUGUUGCCAUGAGCCGUCCCGUGGCUGCUGCUCCAACAUCUAGCCUCACGUGCCGCCAGACCAAGAGAAGCUAUCGUUGCACACCUACUGAGAUCGCCAUCGGCAGAUAAGGGCAUGUAUAAUGGUUGAUAAGAUAGUCUUAUCUUAAAUCUUGCAUGUUAAUUAGAGAUGACAAAAAAAAUGUCUACAAUGGGUCAUCUCUUAGCCUUAUUUUCAGUAACUAGUUGUUCCUAAAAACGUGGCGAGACAUAUUAUGCUAAGAGAUCAUAUCUUGUCUUCUCUUAAAUAAGAGAAGACGAGUCUUUUCUUAUUAGUUCUCUCUCCUCCACUUCAUCAUUUAUCCUACACGGCACUCCUAAGAUAGCACCAUUGUACAUGCCCUAAUGCAGUGAAACAUGAAAUGUGCACUGGAUUGGCCAAGCAGCAGCCCGCCCACCUUGUAGCCAUGCCGCCAGUGGCGAAGCAAUACUUGAGCUGGCUAGUCAAUUGAUGUCAAUUGACUACACAGAUUUUUCCAAAAACAACAUACAACCAGCAGAAAUUGCGCCAAAAAACUUAUAAAUGCAUCAAUCUGACUAAACAACACUUAGUUGACCACACAUGAUUAGAUUUCUGGCACCGCCACCAACGCGGCCCACCCCAAAAGACAAAGGAGGAAGGACUUCUCCUUGACUUCCCUUCGUGGGCAAGCCCACUGUAGAGCCGCACUGCCUCGUCCACGACCACGACCAUUACAUCUCAUGUCACCUACAUUUGAUUUUCGAAAGCCAUAAAUAUUAAUUUUUUAAAAAUGUGCAAGCUUCUUGAAAUAUGUCAAUAUAUGUUCUUUAUAGUCAUGAGUAUUUAAAAAUCUAUUGUGCCCGUACUAAAUCAACGACAACUAUUCCCUUUGAUUCUGAAUAUAAAUCUUUUUAAAGAUUUUAAUAUGGACUACAUACGGAUGUAUAUAGACAUAUUUUAGAGUCUAGAUUCACUCAUUUUGCUCCGUAUGUAGUCCGCAUUGGAAUCUUUAAAAAUACUUAUAUUUAGAAUGAAAGGGUAUUUUUUUAGAAAAAAGUCCAUUUUACUACCCUGAGAAAACAUGGUGAUUCACAUAACCCCUGGUUUUUUUCUGCUCCUUUACCCCCUCAACAAUCUCAUACCGGUCAAAAAAUGUCCCUCGCUAGUUUGCUCCAAUCAGAUGCUGAGGUGGACAAAGUCAAAGCGGUAUUGGACCAGGGCCCACCCGUUAAAAAAAUCCACCUGCUAAUUAAACUCCGUCUCUCUCUCCGCCGGCGCCACUCGUCGUGCACGCAGCGAACAGGAACACCGUGACCCCGCUUCAUCCCGAGCCCGCAUCGCCGUGCAUUGAUCUCCAUUGCUCGCCGUGCCCCAAAAAGCUUUGGAACGAAGAGCCAUGGAGGAGCUCAAGCCACUGCCCAGCCCUGCAGCUCGUGUCAUGCCGCCGGGAUCCACCUGCACCCACCCCGCCAUCCUCUCUACAUGGUCUCUCUUUUCUUCCUCACCCCGCACGCUCUCGUUCCUGACUUCCCGUGCAGCCGCCAUGGAAUCCUUCGCACCGACGCCGGGAAAGACCGCAUCGGAGCUCCACGACGCCAGGUCCUCGCGGCGUCCUGCUACGUCCCCGCGUCCUGAUCCACGCCCCUGCGCUGCCCCUCGCCGGGAUCUGGCGGGAUCUAGCGAGUCCCGCCGCCGCCGUCCCGCAUCGCACCGCAGCGGCCGGCUUCCCGCACGACCCGCUCGAGUUCCAGCACGCGUUGACCCCGUCCCCAGCCCCUCCCCAACCCAUUCUACCACACAUGCAUGCUAGCCAUGAGCCCCUAAUGCUGAUGCACCUCUCCCCCUCUUCCCUGUGCCUUUAGUGCCCUGCCACCUAGCUUCCGACGGCGCUGCCGCUGGCCUGGGCCAUGCCGGAGACAUCGGUUGUCCCCCUGGCUGGUUUGACUAGUAAAUUGCUGACUAGGCUGACUUUCAACAGGUGGGCCCCUCUCUCACUGGACGAGACUUGCCUGCUCCCUUCCCAUGCUCCCAUCCGUGCUCCCGCAUACGUGGCUUGAUUUGAUUGGAAGAAAAUAAGGCCCGGCCCCACCCCCUGAAAAUCGGGGGAUGAUUAGAUUAGAAAAGAAAAAAGGGAAAGAACAGCCGUAGGAUGAAGUGGGAGCACGGAUGGGAGCAUGGAGAGGGAGCAGGCUAGCCGGAUCCGGCUCCUAGGGGCCUAAUUUUGCCGUUUUGUAGGCGCUGGCCCACCUGCUAGCGUCUCUCUCCUGUCCCCUCACUUUUCCUCACUGGCCCACACACGUGCUCCCUCCUCCCCCUCCACGCACACACGGACACGGCAUGGAAGCCCUCCACUCCUGUCCCCGCCGCCUGCCACGCCGCUCCGCUCUUGUGUCAAAUACUGCUUUGACCUUGUCCAUGUCAGCAUUUGGUCGCGACAUACCAGCCAAGGACAUUUUUUGACUGGUAUGGGAUUGUUGAGGGGGAUAAAGGAGCAGAAAAAAACAUUAGGGGGUAUGUAAACCAUCAAGUUUUUUCAGGGUAGUAAAGUGAACAUUUUUCCUUUUUUACUUGUCAGCACAACUUCACCAGCUGGUUCUCACGCUUAUGUGUAUAGUUGUGUUCGAAUUUUCACAAGAAAAAAUAGUUUUGUCGGAAUGUUUGAAUUAAGUUGUUAUGUUGACACGUUAAACCUUGUAAAAUUUGGUUGCUGGCAUAUUUUCAUGUAUAAGGAACGCAGAGGAACAAAUUAUAAAGUUUGCACUUAAAAUCUUGGACACUUCUAGGAAGCCUUGCUGCCUGUGAGGUGCUCAGUCAAUCUCAACAUGGUCUUCAUAUGAAAAUCCAGUUUCAGUUGUACCAACAAUCUUGCUGCACAAUUAGAGUGUAAAAAUGCAAGAUACAAAAUCCAGUUUGAUUUCCAGCUCAGCUUCGCCGGUGAAACUGUAACAUUCCUUGCUGUCGGACCACGGGCGUUUCAGUGCUACAACCCACAAUACAACAUGAUGGACUCUGAACUUCGAGCUGAAUUCAAAACAAAACGCGACGGUUUCAGAGAGGGAAGAGCGGUAGCAUCUCGGUUUCAGGCGGAUUAGCAUUGACAAAUCACAGGAAGUAACAAGAACAAGAUUGCAAGCUGCAAUCCAUUCCAACCAGAUCCACCACCAACAUCGAUGACACACCAAACCAAAACAUGCACAAGAAGACUGAUCUAAUCUAGAACUCCUGGGAAGCAGAGCCGAUGUCGCCCUUGCCCUUGCCGGCCUUCUUGGGAAGCAGCGUGGGGUGGAUGCUGGGCAGCACCCCGCCGGCGGCGAUGGUGGCGGAAACUUGCAGCCGGCCAGAUCGAUGUGCCAGGGCACGAUACGGUUCUUCUUGUUGUCCCGCGCCACAUUGCCGGCGAGCUCCAGGGUCUGAAUCAGAGGGAGAGCAAGAAACGGCACUACAAAAAAAUACACUUCCGUGAUGAUAUGUGUUUGUCACAGUAGGUCGCGUUUUCUGUCAUGCAUGUACAUCCAUGACAAAUUUAUGACAGAAUCAAGAUAGUCAUACCUGUGCUGUCGUAGAAGUGUUCCAUGACAUUGCCAAAAUUAUCAUCACGGAAGUGUCCACUUCCAUGACGAUAAAUCGCGCGUCACAGAAGUGCUUUCGUCAAGGGUGAACGACACGUGGCAUCCACCGUAACGGAACGUCGUUAAGCUAUCGGGUCGGGUUUUGGAUCCGAUAACCCGUUAACAGCCCCGACCAAUGGGGAUUUUCCACGUGUAAAAUCAUCAUUGGCUGGAGGAAACACGUGUCGGCACAUCGUUGGGACAGAUGUCAUCCACUCAUUGGACGGAAGGCGCCUAUGAUACGUCGACACGUGGCACGGCCCAACAGAGGCCCAUUCCUGUGAAAAGGCCGGCCCGUUUGACUUGGUCAAAAGGUGGCGAGCCGGCCCAUGGAAAGCCUGUUAACGGCCUUUUCGCAUAUAGCCCAUUUACAGCCCGCUAACCCAAGGCCCGUUACGCCCUAUCCGAAUUAGGCCCAGUAGCGUCAUCUGGGCCAUCCAAUAUGAUUCCAGCCCGUUUUCACUUCUGGCCCAUGUAUGGCCCAUGACGUCUUUCGGCCCAUAUGAGGCCCUAUGUAACUCUUGGCCUAUUAACGGCCCGUGGUGAAACUGGCCCGUAAUGAACAGUGUAUCACUUUACACCCAUUAACGGCCCGUGGUGAAACUGGCCCGUAAUGAACAGUAUAUCACUUUAUACCCAUUAACGGCCCAUGGUGAAACUGGCCCAUAAUGAACAGUGUAUCACUUUAUACCCAUUAACGGCCCGUUAUUCCGUUGGGUUGUUUCCAGCCCAUGUUAUCUUUCGGCCUUCUCAGAGCCCAUUUAUUCUUGGGCUCUCUUCCAGCAUUCGUUUACUUACGGCCCAUUACUGUCAUUUUCUGCUUGUGGGCCAAAUUCAGCCCGUGGUUACAGUCGGCCCGUUUGUGGUCCGUUAAUACGUUGGGUCGUUUUCAUAGCGUCAUCAAAUACGGCCUAUUAACGAUGGCCCGUUAUGGUCGGCCCAUGAACAGACGAUUCCAACUCUAACCCGUUUACGGCCAUAAUGCGGCCUGUUAUUGGCCCAUGUUUGGCCAAUCGAUCAUACGGCCCGUAUAAGGCCCAUUGAUGAUACGGCCCGUAGAAGGCCCAUUGUUUCUACGGCCCGUAGAAGGCCUACUAUUUCUACGGUCCGUAGAAGGCCCACUGUUUCUACGGCCCGUAGGAGGCCCGGUGUCACUAUAGUAAAUAUUAGCCCAUGGUUAUUGUGGCCUAGUUUUAAAAAAUAGGUUAUUGCAGCCACUAGCAAACCGCGGAAAAAGAACUGCACUGACUACAAGCAAACAAAUAAACAAGACAACAAGGAAAGAAAUAAGCAAGCAACUUAUGCUAGCUAUCACGGCUAUUACACAUAUUACAUCCACUGGGCAUCAAAGUUCGCCACCAGUGCAAAUAUAGGGAACAAAGCAGCAUAUAAACGCCGCAGCAAAACAUGUCCAGAACUGAAACCACUUCAGAAGAGUUCAAGAAACAAUAUCCUGGGUACCCAUAAUGCUGGCAAGAUGCUUAGCAAGCUUAUUAACUUUCUCUUGUUUGGCGCUUAAAUCCUCCAGCGCUUGCUGUUGCACAAGAAAGUAUGCAUCUGAAUUCUGCAGGGACUUCCUCAGUCCUUCGGCUUCUUGCCGCAGCAUAGCUGACUGAUGCCUUUCAGCUUGUAGCUGAGACUGAAGAAGCUGAAGUGAUUCAGGCAGCAAGUUCGAAGAGCUUGUGCCAGCGGUACUGGCCAGUAACUCGAACACUACAUCAACGCAGGACUGUGGGGUUUUCUCACUGUCUACAAGAUCGUUUUUAUCACCUUUCUUGGAGACCAACAGGGUUGUCUCACUAUCUUGAACCUUAUCUGCAUUACUUUCUCUACCAUUGUAUAGUGGGGUGCUCUUCUCCAAUAUUCGGUUUGCAUACUACAAGAGAAACAAGCAGACACAUCACAGGUUUAGCUUGUAGUAUACGAAACUCAUUUGGUAAACCGGUUCAGUAGUAAGGUGGACAGGAUAACAGCAUGAAACAAACAUAUAUCUAUGUACUAUGGUCACUGUAUUGUCCAUAUCAUUCUAGUUUAUAUUCCCUAAUCAAGAUAGAGACACAGUUCAACUCAUAUAUUUUUAGGACACAGCAGCAUAGACAUAAUAUAAGUGUGAGAAACUACACAGCAUUGGCAGCACUUGUAAUGUGCAUCACAUGAGAACAUAACUGUUUAUACAACUUAAACUGAAAUCAACAUAGAGCAACAAGUUAGAACAGCAAUCCAGUUAAAGAAAUAGGUUUAAAACAUACCUGUUGCGCCAUUGGAGUUUCAAUUGGAUCCUUCAAAUUCGAAAGUAGUUGGUAUGAGUAAAUACAAUGAUGCAACAGCAAAGGAGUAUGCUCUUCUGCUUUAAACAUGGAGUUUGGGUUAGCUGUGGUGGUCUUCGUACAUUGAGCACUGCGGUAGCUUUACAAACUGCUCGUGUGGGGGUACUCUGUGGUGGACAUGGUGCUUUGUCAACUAUAAGUGGGUUACUAUCCGCUAGGGUUGCGGUUAGAUGGGUUGUAGCUGGUUCUCUGCCCAACGGUGUAAGUGUGCAAUCUGGAAGAGUCUCGAUUAUGUGUGGUGGGGCUAGUUUGUGGGCCAGUACAACCAUGGUUCUAUAUGCAUCGACGGGUAGCACUGUCUUUUGUGAAGAACGGGUUUUUGCUCCCUUAGAUACUGCCAUCACCCCCUCCAAUUCAAAUGGCUGGUAAACAAGAAAAGAAAUUGAACGUACAGACAUUGUAUGAUAGACAGAUGUGGUAAUUCACAUAUAUGUUGUCUAACCAAACAGGACAGCAUGACACAAUUUCACAUAUAUGAUGCCUAACUAAACAGGAUAGCAUGACACAGUUUCAGAUAUAUGAUGGAUAACUUAACACGAUAUAAUGGCAUAAUUCAACAUAUGAUGAGUACCUAAACAGGAUGACAUGACAAAACUAUAUGAUGUCUUUCUAAAAUAGGUUGGAAUGAAAUAAUUACAUACAUGUUGUCUAAGUAUACAGGAUGGCAUGAUAUAAUUGACAUAAUUGAUUCAUAUACUAAGCAGUUGGCACUCGCAUGUAUGAUCUCUAAACUAAGCAGAUAGAAUUCAAUAUUGUGCAUAUGAUGUCUAAACUAAGCAAUGCAAGACACCAUAUGCAUCAUAUGAGAAAUAUAAGCAUUGCAACUUAGAGCAUACACCUCAGGUGGGAUAUAGGACUGGUCAUCUGUCUUUGAAUCCUCCUCUGAGGAGCUUCCUGUAACCAUCGAGAUAUAUGCUUCAACAGGUACCAUUGCCUGCUCUGAAGACCUUGUUUUCACUCCAGAUUUUUCCAUAACCGGCUCAAAUGGCUGAUACACAUGAAGAGUAGUUCAAUAUACACAGAUUGUCAACAAAUGGAAUACGUAAUGAAAAAAAAGAUGGCAUGAGAUAAUUCACAUAUAUGAUGCCUGGCUCCAUGGCGGUGCAUAAUUCACAUAUAUGAUAACUGGCUGAAAAACAUGGCAUUGCAUAAUUCACAUAUCUGAUAUAGAAAGCAAACAGGAGGCAUUCACACAAAGCAUGUCUAAUCUAAGCAGAUGGCAUGGCAAUGCAAGACACCAUAUGCAUGAUAUGAGCAAUAUAACCCAGCCAAGUUAGAGCAUGCACCUCGGGGGGAAUACGACUGGUCAUCUCUCUCUGAAUCCUCCUCUGAGGAGCUAUCUGUAAGCAGCAAGAAAUCUGCAUCGACAGGUAGCACUGACUGCUCAGAAGACCUUGUUUUCACUCCAGAUUUUCCCAUGACCGACUCAAAUGGCUGAUGCACAGGAAGAGUAGAUUAAUGUAUAAACAUUGUUGACAAAUGGAAUACAUUAUGGGAAAAAAUAUGGCACAAUACAAUUCACAUAUACGAUGACUGGCUAAACAGGAUGGCAUUGCAUGAUUCACGUAUAUGAUGCCUGGCUAAAGAAGAUGGCAUUGCAUAAUUCUCAUAUACUCCCUCCGUUCCUAAAUAUUUGUCUUUUUAGAGAUUUCAAAUGGACUACCACAUACGGAUGUAUAUAGACAUAUUUUAGAGUGUAGAUUCACUCAUUUUGUUCCGUAUGUAGUCACUUGUUGAAAUCUCUAAAAAGACAAAUAUUUAGGAAUGGUGGGAGUAUGAUAUAGAAACCAAACAGGUGGCAUUCACACAAAGCAAAUCUAAACUAAGCUGAUGACAUAUAAGGUGUAUAAUGUAAGCAAUGCAAGGCGCCAUAUGCAUGAUAUGACCAACAUCAGCAUGCCAGGUUAGAGCAAACACCUCAGGUGGUAAACAGGCGUGGUCGGCUCCUUCUGAAUCUCCAUCUGAACAGUUAUCUCCCUCUGGAAUACAAUCUGGAAAUGCAGGAGAGGGGGCCACUUCGCCCACCAUGGAGCCGCGUCUGCAUGACAUUAUAUUCGCACGCAACGGUCUUCUCUUUUUCUCUACAUGUUUAGUACGAUUGUGUACAAUAUCUGACAUGCAUAAUAAAAAAUAGUUAGAUUUUGUAAGGCCUAAGGGGUGCAUGCAAAAAUCAAGACUGAUGGUAGCAAACGAGUGGAUGGAUCCAAAACUAAUGAUAGCAGGUAGAUUAUAGCUUCAGUUUAAAAAGAUAGACAAUGGAUCAUCUAUUGUUUGUUGCCCACCCAACAUGAACCACAUAGAAGACCCUAGAUGAACCAGAUAGUAGACAGAUACUAUUCGUUGCUGGCUCGAUAUGAGACCCAUGGGCAAUUCAAAACUCAAGAUUGAAUGAUAAAGUAGCAGGUAAUAAUAACCGAUGUAUAACGUAAGCAAACACGAAAGACUGCGACCUCUCUUCCGGAACUGUGUAGUCCUCAGGUUCAUCUGCUCACUCGAUGAUGGUAAUGAAGAUGGCGUGGCUGCCGGCAACGGGGAAGAUGAUCUGAGGCGGCAAAAGGAAGUCUGCAGGGGGGAUCUCUGCUGCAGUGAACGCUUCUGUCGAUGGUGCACCUCAGGUGGGGUGGAUGACGGCACGGCAGGAGCAGGACAUAACACACAGAGUUUUCUUUGACGCCUAUCUGAAAAUGAAGUAAAUCUGUAAGGGCUCCUUACAAUUGGAGGAUUCUAUAAACGCAGGGACAGGAAAAACACAGGAAUAGGAUAGGAAUGCACGUGCAAAACACAGCAUUUGGAAACAUAGGAUUUCAGUCAACCUAGGUGUUUGGCUCACAUGAAUUGGAAGAACAGAGGAAUGGAGAAACAAACUGAUGCGACGAGUGUACAACCUCUUUGGCAUAGCCUUGUGGACCUCAGCAUCAUUGGGUUGGACGUGGAGGAUGGUGAUGAUACUGGUGUGACUGUCGGAGGCGGGGAAGAAGAUCCGAGGCCUCUGGAAACGGCGCCGAGGGUACUGCUCCGCUGUGAUGGACGGUUCCGUCGUUGGAGAAGCUCCGCUAAGGUGUACGGCGACGAGGCUGAAGCAUGACAAGACAGACAACGCUAAUCUGAAGUGGGACCCUAAUAUCAUCUGCAAUAGAUGAUGUAAAAUACAUCACCAAAAAGUGCUAGAUGUAAAACGCAUCAGCCGCGCCACGGCCGCUCCGACAGAUGCUGUAAGUACUGUUCACUCUGAACUUAACUGAAGAAAAUGAACUUCACAGUCGAAACUGAAUUUUACUGUCGAAACUGAUUGAACUAGUAACAGAGCAUUGCAAUAGAUGUUUAGGGCGUUCGAGCACUAGUAGCAGAGAAGCAGUGAUCUAAAUCAGCAGACGCUCAAGCAGGGAACGCACUAGCAGCGAGCAAGUCGUGCAGUAGCACCGCGAGUGAGUGCUAAAGCAGCAACUCCUGUAGCUGCCGGAGGUCGUGCAGCAGCAGCAGCAGCAGCGCAAGCAAGAGCAAGAGCAGAGCAGCAGCACGAACGAAAGCAGGAGCAGUGCAGCAGCGCGACCGACAGCAAGAACAGAGCCGCAGCGCGAGCGAGAGCCGGAGCAGCUGCAGCUAGUGCCGUUGUGGAAGUCGCCGCCGAGGAAGCAACGACAUGGGGGAGAGACGCCGUGGAUGAUGUGGCCAGCGACGGCGCCGUCGAUGGAGACACGCCAUGUCUGCUCGGUAUCGAGCACCGGCAGCCCCGUGAGAUCGAAUAAAAGAUAAAAUGCAGCGGUGAGUGCAGAACCUCCUUGGUGGCGCCGAGUUGGCCUCGGCUUCAUCGGAGGAAUUGGUGAGGGUGUUGCGGUUCCGGUGGGGCAGGUCAAGACGGCGCUGUGGGGAUUGAGGUGGCGCGAUAGACGAGGCGAACAUCAGGGAAGCUCCUUGGAGGUGGAGGACGGGGCGGCUGAUCCGGCGGGACGACGAGAUCGACAACGGAUCCUCAUCCGGUGCGGUGGAUGAGGGACGGCGAGCUGUUGCGUUGGACGACGUAGUCGGGGAAGAGUCUCCGGCUGGGCGGCGGUCGGGAGGCCGACGGAGGAGCGUGGGGUUUCGCGGGUUUUGGCGGCCUCGGUGUACGAAUGGGGGGGCGAAGGGGGAGGGGGAGCCAAGCUUAGGGACGCGCUUGUCCGAAAUGUAGGGUAAGUUACCAUCGUACCCCCACCGGUUUUGACACCGCGACGUGGAGCUUCAUUUCCGGCUGAGGGGUAGAAGGGGGAUUUCUCGUGUCUGGGCUGCAGGAGCGAUUUCGGAUGAGGAGGGAGUUCUCGCGCGCGUCCAAAUUUCGGGAUAACAAGGCGCGGCGCGGGUUGAAGAAGCGGGAGUUUCAAAGCAGGUGAGACAAAAGAUACUCGAGCUUGAAAAUUUCGGGAUAACAAGGUGCGGAUUCCUUGUUCGGCAGAACAAACUUAACGUGUAAAAAAACAAUUCAUACAAGACACAAGAGAGUCAUGUCCCCUUUUACUAUAUUGCUAUAGAUGCCAUUGAAAAAACUAUAAGAAAAAUGUAAAAAAAAUCGGGAGAACAAGAUUACCCUGCACAGUACCAAAUCGAUUCGCAUUUCCCUCAACAACAACAAAAAACAAUUCCCACCAAAGAAAGAGUAAUGUCCCUUUUUAUAUGAUUACAGAUGCCAUGAUCUCGAAUUUCAAUUUUUGAAUCCACGUUAUGUUGAAUUCGAAUAUAUCGUUAGGUGACCUUGCGGUUUAUAAUUGAUGUAGUCGUACAUUUUGAUCUUCCAUCAUAUAUGAACAUUUUACUCCACCAUGUGAACAUAUAUAUUGUCGUCUACCAUAUGGACUAAAUUUGAACCAAUUUUCCUUAUUUGAAUACGAUUGUUGUCAAGUUAUACAAUAAUUUAAAUAUUAUCUUGAUAACAAAAAACAUGCAUAUAGCAGUAAUCAUAUUUCACUAUGAACUACAUGUACCAUACGCUCUCCAAUUCAAAUAUUUGUAUCCAUUUUAUGUUGAAUUCAAAUCAUAGUACAUUAUUGGUCUAGGUAGCGAGAUGUUUGGGAUAAUCAAAACCCUGUUUUCAUACAUAUAAUUUUUGGCUGAAUUGGGACAAGUUUUGGUAUAAGCCUCUUGCAAAACCGGAGAUUCUCUCAACAAGCCUCGUGGUUCCGAGAGGGAACGUGUCACCUUUGUGUGCGAAACGAUAUACGCUGCCUCCCCCUGAUUUUAUUUACAGAGGCAACAUAGAACUAUAUGAGUGCCCUGUUAAAUUUUGGAAUUAUUUCGGGUUCAUUUGGCCUUUUUAUACAUUAAUUGAGUUUCUGGACUUUUAAUGUGCAUAAUCUAAAUAUGAAUUGCAUGCACAUGCUCCGGUGCACCAAAGUGGGUUGAAAAUCACAUGUGUGUCCUUGGUUUAAUUUCUAGGUCCCAUGGAAGAAAUGAGAAUGAAAUUCAAACAUCUGGGCGUCAUGACUCAGCCGAGAACAUCGAGAAACUUUGAUUUUAAAUUCAUGUAAAUCCAAAACUCGCCUGGAAAUCAUGAAACUUGGCAUGGUGUCAUGUCAUGGCACUAACAUGUUGUGGUAAAAAAUUGGGCCGAUUUGGAAGCUCGUGGUUCUAAGAGGGAACGUGCCACCUUUGAGUGUGAAACGAUAUACGCUGCCCCCCCCCCUUGAGUUUCUUAACGAAGGCAACAUAGAACUACAUUAGUGCGCUGUUAAAUUUUGGAAUUAUUCUAGGUUCGUUUGUCGUUUUUAUACAUUAAUUGAGUUUCUGGUCAUUUAAUGUGCAUAAGUCAAAUUUGAACUACAAGCACAUGCUCUCGUGCACCAAAGUUGGUUGAAAAAUCACAUUUGUGUCCUCGGGUGAAUUUCUAGGUCCCAUGCAAGAAAUGAGAAUAAAAUUAAAACAUCUGGGCAUCGUGGCUCGGCCGAGAACAUUGAGAAACUUGGUUUUUAAAUUCUUGUAAAUCCAAAACACGUCUGAAAAUCAUGAAACUUGGCAUGGAUGUCAUGUCAUGGUACUACCAUGUUGUGGUAAAAAAAUUGGCCGAAUAGGAACAGAUUUUGGUAUAAGCUUCUUGCAAACCGAAGCUUCUCUCAAGAAGGCUCGUGGUUCUGAGAGGGAACGUGCCACCUUUGAGUGCGAAACGAUAUACGUUGUCCCCCUUGAGUUUAUUUACAAAGGCAACAUAGAACUACAUGAGUGCCCUGUUAAAUUUUGGAAUUAUUCCGGCUUCGUUUGGCCUUAUUUACACAUUAAUUGAGUUUUUGGUCAUUUAAUGUGCAUAAUUCAAAUUUGAACUACAAGCACAUGCUCCCGUGCACCAAAGUUGGUUGAAAAAUCACAUUUGUGUCCUCGGGUGAAUUUCUACUCCCUCCUUCCAUCUAUAUAGGUCCUAAUGUGUUUUUCGAGGCUAACUUUGACCAAACGUUAGAGCAAUAAUAUAUGACAUGCAACUUACACAAAGCAUACCUUCAAAUUUGUAUGUCAAAGGAGCUUCCAAUAAUAUAAUUUUCAUAGUAUACAUCUCAUGUGCUAUUAAUCUUGUCAAUAGUCAAAGGCUGUCUUGAAAAACACAUUAGGCCCUAUAUAGAUGGAAGGAGGGAGUAGGUCCCAUGCAAAAAAUGAGAAUAAAAUUCAAACAUCUGGGCAUCGUGGCUCGGUCGAGAACAUUGAGAAACUUGGUUUUAAAAUCAUGAAACUUGGCAUGGUGUCAUGUCAUGGUAGUACCAUGCCGUGGUAAAAAUAAUUGGCCAAAUAGGAACAAAUUUUGGUAUAAGCUUCUUGCAAAUCGGAGCUUCUCUCAAGAAGGCUCGUGGUUCUGGGAUGGAACGUGUCACAUUUGUGUGCAUAAUUCAAAUUUGAAAUACAAGCACAUGUUCCAGUGCACCAAAGUUGGUUGAAAAAUCAUAUGUGUGUCCUCGGGUAAAUUUCUAGGUUCCAUGCAAGAAAUGGGAAUGAAAUUCAAAAUUCUGGGCGUCGUGGCUGGGUUGGAAACAUUGAGAAAUUUAGUUUUUUAAUUCCUAUAAAUCCAAAACACGCAUGAAAAUAAUGAAACUUGGCUUGGUGCCAUGACAUGGCACCAACAUGUUGUGGUAAAUUUGCAGUCCGAUUUGCGAAGGCGCACACAUUAACAAUCAACAAAGUCAUUUUGGAACAAGUGUUGUCACGUUACAAUCGGAAACACAAGUAUUAUUGAAACCGUGGGCGUUCUACUUACUAGUACCAUUUAUGUGCCGCCACACGUCCCCAUUUUUUAUUAGCUAGGAGGCGUCGUGCAGGGUAGCUAUUUGAGUACGAGAGGCGUGCGAUCAGACCCCUGCGCGUGCUUAUCGGGAGGAGAGCCCUUUGACCUCCAUCUGCCGUCCACCUCUCUCCCAAGGUCUCCAUUAAUGGCGCCCGAGUCUCUGUUUAAUGGCGUGGCUAUGUCUCACUCGACUGAGAUUUAAGAGAGAAAAAGGAAAAUCUGAAAGCACGGAACUUGAUGUAAGAUCCGAUGGACCUAUAUAGCAUCUACUGCGACUUAUAGCAAGACUGAUGAAUAUAUAAGGACGGUUAAUUUAUUUUUUUGAUCAAAGAAGGGCUUGCCCCUUCCGAUUUUCAUUACUGAAAACCACCACAAUUCACAAGAAGUUCAGCACAACUCCUGCCUAACACGAAGGACUAAAAGCUACCAGAUUGAAAUCGCAACAUCCCAAGAGGCCAACAAAGGCCAAACAUCCACGCUAGAACCCAACAUUUCACAACCGACGACACAAUCCACAUCCUAAACCGAUUAUUACAUCAAAAGAAACCAGGAAACUGAAGGAAGCCCAGCAGCAACUAGAAGAACAGCAACGCCAGGGUCGCCACAGCAAGAGUUUUCUUCAUUCCAGCCUCGCAACAUUGAUCUUCCACAGAAAGAUAAAGAUGAUUAAUUGUCUUACAUAAUUAGAAAGAUAAUUAAAAAAGCCACAUGCGGCUACGCCCGAAAUACACAAGGGAAAAAGAAGAAGGAAGACAAGGAUCUGGCUCGCUGAUCUCUACUUUCUUGAUGCGUUGCUGCAGGCCGCGGGAACUAGUCUCCGCGGCGAGCGGCGAUGAGCUCUUUCGUGUUCUCAAGACGCUGCUUUAGAACAUCCACGGAUUCCUCCACCAGCCUUUGGCGCUCGUUGCGGAGCAUGUCAUUCUCGUCCAUAAGUUUCUUGACGAUGACGCCGGUCCUCUUCAACAAGGCACUGGUCUCCUCCUGCUGGUCUGCACUUCGGACGAUCUUCUCCCUCAGCAGGUCGCGCUCGGCCCGGAGCCUCUCAUUGCCCUCCCUUAGUUGUCGGAUGAUGCAGGUAGCCUGUUCAAACGAGGCUUUCAUGUCGUCCUGCAACCUCGCCCAGCCGGAGAUCUGAUCCAUCUGGCUAUGGACGAUCGCAUGCAUGCGCCUGUAACAGUCGUCGCCUGCCCGCGAGAAAUUUUCCCAGGCCGCUGCGGCGCGGCGGGACAUCUCUGCUGCUUCCGCGGCGCGGCCGGACCAGUCUGCUGCAUCGACGGUGCAGCGGGACCUCCGUGCUGCUUCAGCGGCGCGGCGGGACCUCUGUGCUGCUACUUCCACGCGGCGGGACAUGUCGGCUGCUCUCGCAGCGAGGCGGGACAUCUCUCGUGCUUCCGCUUCCAUGCUCGCAUCUCCCUGGUGGCAAUCUCUCGACCCAGAACUCACGCUGGCCAUGGCAGACGCAAGGGAAGGAUGCUGAAUGACUUGUUUGUUUUUGUGGAUGAGGAGUUGAGGAGGAAUGUGCAGUCAUCUUGGCAUACUAGUAUUUAUAACCGAGUACUAAUACGCUCCUAAGUGGGAAACCGUUUAGGUUGUGAUCGGUGUGAACAGGUUUGCAAUUCAAUAUAGCGUGGUACUAAUAAGCUCCUAAGUGGGAAACCGUUUAGGUUGUGAUCGGUGUGAACAGGUUUGCAAUUCAAUAUAGCAUGGAGUAAUUUGGAAUGUGACGAGACGCAAGCUCAAAAUUUAUUGACGGUUCUAGUUUCGAAGUGCGGCACUAUUCCCGGAUGGAGUACUUCUUUUUCUACUCCCUCCUUUCCGGUUUUAUAGGGCUUAUCUCAAAAUUUUAGUUUUUCCAUUUUAUAAGGCUCAAUUUGGUUGUUCCCCAACACACGUUCAGAUUCCAAGGUGCAUUAAAUCAUUGCAUGCAAGUAUUAAGAGAAAAUUGACCAAUGCAUGUACUUUAUGCAUGCAUGCAUGCAUUACAAUUAAUGCAUUGAUAAACAUAAUUUUUUGAGAAAAACAAGAGCAUUAAUUAGGUGCUUUUGUAAACUACAGAAAAUAUUCCACCACUCACCAUCUUGGUUGGUGAGAUUUUUGAAUUAAGCCCUAUAAACCGGAAAGGAGGGAGUACUGCUGUGUACGUGCAAUAACUGGCACCGUCGUAUACAUAUCUUACAGUUAAUGGGGCGUUCGACAGGAAUAGCCGCGUGGCGAGCUCUCACACACGCGUCUUUUUUUUCUCGAAAAGGAGGAUGAUGACCCCCGGCCUCUGCAUCUGGGAGUCACACACGCAUCUGUAGCUAUGAAUUGUAGUGUUCUCAACCAUCCGAUUGGCUCUAUCAUGGAUGUACCUAUAUAACUAAACAUGUCUAGAUACAUCUAUAUUUUGAUAAAUGGAAGGCAUGUAUUGUGGAACGGAGGGAGUGCUUGUCAUCAAAAUGGAUAAAAAGGGACGUAUCUAGAACUAAAAUACGUCUACAUACAUCUCCUUUUAUCCAUUUUGAUGACAAGUAGUACUUCUUACCCAAAGGAACUUUAUAUCCAACAGACACAAAAUAUCCGUUCGACUGUUGGAAAUUACUGAUCUGAUGUCGAAGUAAUUGCUGCAUCGCCACCAAAACCCACCAUUUCUUAAGCUAAAGUAGACCAAGGGGCAGUGGAGCACGGUGAGGUCCAUCGAGACCUUAGAGAGCUCCAUCGUCGGGUCCUGUUCGGUCUGCAUGAUCUCGCCCUCCUCGUGCACAACCAUCUCUCGACUUGGGCCGGGGUAUUACAAAGCUUUACUGUCACAUAUUUUAUACUACUUCAAGGUGCAUUAAAUCAACACAUGCAAGUAUCAAAAGGAGAGUCACGGCAUGCAUGCAUGUGUUGUAAUUAAUGCAUCGGUAAACGCAAAUUAUUGAAAUAUAUCGAGUGUCGUGCUUUGAUGUGUCGCGUCAACUCGUACAUCAACGAGAAGUUUGAUUAUCCUCUCUCUCGUAGACUUAACUGCACCUACCUUUGGCUGUAUGACAGGUUGGCCACACACCUGUCAGGCCCACCUGUCAUACACGCAAAGGCAGGAGCGUCCCUCCCUCGCCCAUGAGCGUGGUGGCUGGCAAGACUAGGAGAAGCUUUCGCUACACGCUCUCCCUCCCGCACGCGGUGGACAUGCAGCAGUUCAAUCGGUGUCAGAUGGCCAGAAGCGUACUGUAGUACUCCUCCAGUGCAGUAGUACUCCAUCAUUGUUCGACUUCCCGAAGAGGCGAAGAGCCAAGCGCAGCCCGGACACUCGUGUGGCAGUUUCAUGUGUAGAGUAGUCUAGGAUAGCGUGUAUCGUGCCUGUAAGCUUAAAAUCGUUGGGGUCGGCUCCAUGCUAUGUGGCCGUCUCAAAGUUUUUUUAAAAAAAUUAAAAUAGUCUUCUAGCCCUACCUGAUACCCUGGUGAUUGUAGUUUGCACGCUCAUCUGGUCAAGACAGGAAUAUAUAUUUUAAUUUGUUUUUUUUUCAAAAAGGGGGGACUCCCCGGCCUCUGCAUCAGAACGAUGCAUACGGCCACAUAUAUUUUAAUUUGUGGUGGGUAAAUGUUAGAGGUUGCAGCAAAUAUAUUGUACACUGCGGGUCUUUCAGCCAAGUUUAGAGGCAAGCAUGUGGGGCCAGUGCUAUGAUGUGUCGCGUCAACUCGUACAACGAGGAGAAGCUUGAUUUUACUACACGCCUUCUCCCUCACCCAUGCGCGCGGUUGCUCGCAAACGAGGACAGGCUUUUGCUUAGUAGUACUUCUACAAAAAGCUAUCCGUCCCGCUCGCGGUGGACGGACAUGCAGCAGUGGAUUCGACACUGUAGAAGCAGUAGUAGUAACAUCAUUGUUCGUCUUCUCGAAGAGGCGAAGAGCCAAGCGCAAACCGAACGUUGCAGUUGCGAACAUUGGAGCACGCAUAUAGCCAGGCUCUUGCAUGAGACAAAAUUGCUAUGUGAGCCCACUAUUGUACUAGUACGUACAACUACUUGCUAGUAUAGCCCUGUAAACCAGAAAGGAGUAUUUGCCCUUCUAGAGAUUUCAACAAGUGACUAGACUACAUCGAGACGGAGUACAUAUGGAGCAAAAUGAGUGAAUCUGCACCGUAAAUAAAUACGUACUAGUUCUAUCGUUUUCCUCUCCGAGGUGCACAAUAUUGAGUAUACUGACUAGUCUCUUUUUGACACGCAUUUACGUUUUUUUACACAGUACAGACGCAAGCGCUCAUAUACACGCGCAUACACUCACCCCUAUAAAUGCACACACGCAUGGCACUAUCAUCUUGAAAUUUACGAAGUCACCAUAGGCACCUCGUCGUCGACGGGUCCAUAGGUGCUUGAAUGCCAAGGAGGGAGAGGGUAGCGGUUCCCGAGACGUUGAACGGUCAAUGAUGCAUGCUCAAUUACAUGCAGAGGGAAUUAAUUGGAGAAGCAGAAUAGAGCCAGCACGAUGUGAAUGCAACACAAUUUGGACUCUCAUAUAAUAAAGGCACCCCACCACUCCAAUCCAUCUACUCCCAAGUCUCUGCGCAACACUGCUCACUCCAAUCCAAGACCAAGUGACCAGAAGCCACAAGCACCUAUGGAGGCGAUGGGCGCGAGCGGCAGUCGGCUGUGCCAAAUCAUCCAAGGCGCCGGCCUGCGGCCCUGCACCGCGCAGCGUUUCCAUACGGUGCUGGCGACCGCAGGCAUCGUAGCCCUCGCCAACGCCGGCUUCGCCACUCGCAUACGACGUGAUGGUCAACUCCAUCCGCAAGUUCACCGCCGUCAAGAAGCGCACGGACGACCUUGCCGUACUGCUUCAGCCCGCGCGCCCAGGCUCCUCAUUGCCUGCCACCCUCAUCGGCCUCCAUGGUGACGAACUCUUUCAAGCCCUGGUGGCCCUGCAGGUGCCGGAGGUCGCGACGAAGAAUGUGCACCUCGAGGCCGCGCUCGCCGCGCAGCACCUCGCCAUGCAAGAAACCGUCGACCUGCACAUCCACGUCUACGAGGAAAUUGUCUACAUAUGCCACUACAAGGCAAGCGAGGACAGAAAGACGUUGGCCUUCUUCCAGCGGCUGGAAUCUUUGGACGCCAUUGUUCAGGAGCACGUCGACCUGGCCACGAAAGCCACUGCUACUUAGGCGUCGUUCGGUGGGCCGGCGCCCUGAGUCGAGGAGGUGGACGUCGUCGAUGGAUGCAUCUCUUCUUGCCUCCUGUAACCAGCACUGCAUCGCCUCGUGGCCUUAAUGUUUUAUUAGUAUAGUACUCCCUCCGUUCUCAAAUAUAAGUCUUUCUAAAGAUUCCAGCAAGUGACUACUACAUACGGAGUAAAAUGAGUGAAUCUACACUCUAAACUAUGUCUACAUACAUCUGUAUGUUGUAUUCCAUUUGAAAUAGUAUCUAAAAAGGCUUAUAUUUAUGAACGGAGGGAGUAUAUGGCAUUUUUAUUCCAGUCGUAACGUUUUCACUGUGAGGUGGGCCGCAGUUGAGCAAACCCACCCCACCCACCGGGCGUCGGCCGAGUUUAGAAUUAGAAGAGAGAAACGAGGGAGGAGAGCUAGCUGUAGCACGGACACUGUUGUCAGAUGGGACUCGUGUUUAUAGAAUAGGAGUACUGAGCACUCGUGCCUCUUUUUUUUGAGGGAAAAAUUAGUCGUAUGUCUAGUACCACUAGUUGGGUGCGUGCGACCUAUAGCUGUCAUCACUUUAGGUCUCCUUUUUGAACCGCGGCUACGCUUCACAGUACAUAUUAUUUCACGCAUUUAUCCUCCUAUAUGUACUCCUAGGCUAUUUCCACGUGCUCCCAUUCGCCGACAUGUGGGACAUAGAGCAUCUGGGUCGUAGUGCAUGCACGACUCGGAGCAUAUGCCGGGGUACUUUACAUUUCAGACCUCACGAAUUACAUGCAAACCCCCCGUAGAAGAAUAAAUAAAUGAAUGAAUUACUACAUGAAACCGGAUUAUUUUCGUGGAAACCGGAGCACGUUCAUUAAAUUUUGNNNNNNNNNNNNNNNNNNNNNNNNNNNNNNNNNNNNNNNNNNNNNNNNNNNNNNNNNNNNNNNNNNNNNNNNNNNNNNNNNNNNNNNNNNNNNNNNNNNNNNNNNNNNNNNNNNNNNNNNNNNNNNNNNNNNNNNNNNNNNNNNNNNNNNNNNNNNNNNNNNNNNNNNNNNNNNNNNNNNNNNNNNNNNNNNNNNNNNNNNNNNNNNNNNNNNNNNNNNNNNNNNNNNNNNNNNNNNNNNNNNNNNNNNNNNNNNNNNNNNNNNNNNNNNNNNNNNNNNNNNNNNNNNNGAAUAAAUAAAUGAAUGAAUUACUACAUGAAACCGGAUUAUUUUCGUGGAAACCGGAGCACGUUCGUUAAAUUUUGGACAUAACACAUUUAUAAAAAUUGACCAGACCGAAACCAGUCUAAGGGCCUCUUUGAUUUUUCCCGCAAAAAAAAGGGCCUCUUUGAUUCGUAGGAUACUGAAAACACAGGAAUGGGGAAAGUAUGAUGGCGAUGAACCGAGACGAGGAGAAUCUAACUCAGUUAGAGGUUAGAGUUAGAUUCUAACCCUGAACUAACUCUAAACCAAAGAGGUGUAUGGAUGGCAGGGUUAGAUUGACAAUAAAUGCUCUAUCUCAAUCAUUUGACUACUUUGGACCCUAUUUCCUGCCGGAUUUGGAGGGUGCUUGGAUACGUUUUAGUUCCAUGACUAAAAUUAGUGGGACUAAAACUUGCUAGCCUCACCCAUGCUUGGAUCCAAAUACUAAAGAGACUAAAAUCAAGUUAAUGAGCAUUUAUUAUCCUCCAAACCCUCCAAUCCAGAACUCGCCUGUGUUAAAGGAGAGGAGUUAAAUGAGGAGAGAGAGGACUAAUCCACAUUUUAGUAGGGGUACCCCUGACUAAAAUUUUUUAGUCUCAAGACUAGUUUUACCCCCUCUUUAGUCAGGGGUGCUUGGAACUUUAGCCUCUUAAAGAGACUAUUUUUAGUCAGACUAAAAUAAGUCCUUUGGAUCCAAGCACCCUCUUGGUGUGGCCGGCUCUUCUGUGGCCUCCUCCCGCUCACAAUUGACAUAAACGAACCAUCUAUACAAAUCAAGCAUGCAAAACAUGAUAAUUUUUACUUUGUCCAUACAAAUGAGAUAUCCCACUUAAACAUACAAGUUGUCAAUCAUGCUUCACAAAAUAAAAAAACACUUCAUGAAACAAAGAAUGAGCUAACUCAUCACGGAAGUCAUUCACGAUAGGGAGGGAGCCCGGAGCCCCUCACGCACCGAGGGAGGAGCUCGCCAUCGUCGCUCUGGAGGAAAGCUCUGUAGAGCCCAAGCCCCGGGAACCCCUCCGACGCCGGCCCUUGCGAGUUGAGGUCGACACCGGCAUGGGUAGCAGGGCCGCUUGCCGCCGACUGGGAACUUAAUCUUUGGGCCUCUAGAAAUAAUGCAAGCCUGUAACUAAAAUACCUAGAAAGGUGAACUGAAUCUUUGGGCCUCUAGAAAUAAUGCAAGCCUGAAACUGAAAUACCUAGAAAGGUGAACUGAAUCUUUGGGCCUUUAGAAAUAAUGCAAGCCUGAAAGUGAAAUACCUAGAAAAAGGUGAACUGAAUCUUUGGGCCUCUAGAAAUAAUGCAAGCCUGGAACUGAAAUACCUAGAAAGGUGAACUGAAUCUUUGGGCCUCUAGAAAUAAUGCAAGCCUGAAAUUGAACUAUCUAGAAAGGUGAACUGAAUCUUUGGGCCUCUAGAAAUAAUGCAAGCCUGAAAUUGAAAUACCUAGAAAGGUGACCUGAAUCUUUGGGCCUCUAGAAAGAUUUAUUACCUCCUCAAGCAGCAUCAAACAAUUCCAUGCGUGCACCACAAAUCUAUACCAAGUUUGAUCAGGAUCUACUUUUCCAAACCAGAAUUAGCGCUAGAGCAAGCAAGAUCAAUGAUAUGGCUGUGAGACAGAGAAGGAACGAACAAACUCACCCCUCUCGCGACCUCCCUAGUAGAUGCGCCGCCGCCACGCACGACAGAGGGAGAAAAAGACUGGUGAAGGGGGAGCGGGGCGAACUUCGAAGGCCAGAGGGAGAGGGUGGCCGGAGUAGGGCGGCGGAGGCCAGAAGGAGAGGGCGGCCGGAGGAGAGAGAGGGCGAGCGGCCCUAUGGGGAACAGAGAGGAGUCGUGCGAGAGGGGGGAGCGAUCUGGUGCGGGCAGGGGAGAUUUUUUUAGUUCUCUUUUAGUGGGCCCGAGGAUAACUAACCCAAUUAGAACCUCUCCACCGGGCUAGUUUUUUUAGCUGGGUUAGAGCAAACUAGCUCAAACUAACCCCUCUUGUUUCGAUAAUUUCAGGCUAUUUCAACCCAAACUAGCUCUAACGCAGGGAUCCAAACAAAGAGGAGUGUUACUGUACAUGCUACAGUGUGGACCGUAGCACAUUGUUUUUUAUGGCCAUAUCACCACAUUGUUUUCUACUGCUGGUUCACUGGGCUACCGUGGUUCGCACUGCUGGUUCACUGGGCUGUCGUGGUUCGCACUCCUCCGACCUGAGUAGUACUCUAGUAUAGUACUAGUAUAUACCACAUCAUUCUUUGCUCCUUCUUACUACUCCGACAUGUGGGAGAGCCAGCAUCCGGGUCGAUGUGUCAUGCACCAGAUUAGAGCGCGGAACGGAAGGGGGGCAUCACCCCGGUCGGAGCGCCAGUAAUUCAUGACUAUAGUGAGUGGUCAUAUCACAAGUCUUUCCAGCAGUAACGCGCCGUCAAAUCGCACAGCCCCACUCGCUCACCCUCCUCGCCUCUCUGUCAAACCGCCUACCCGAAAACUGCCGCGCGUACUGCCCGGGAAAAGCCCCACCCUCAACUUUUAACUACGCGAAAAUAGUUCAAGCUUGUUCGUUCUAUAUAAAUACAGUACUUACUGUAUGUUUAUUCACCCGUGGGGUUGUUCAAUGAAUGGAGGGGCGGGGAGCACAAGUGAACAAUACUGUAGUACUACGAGUAGUAAGUAGGAGUCGUACAGUAGUCACCUUAAAUAGAGAGUUUCUUUUCUUUAAUGCCACGUACACAAAUUGAAACGCUUGUUGUGGAGAGAAAAAAGAUAAUCACUCCACUAUAUAUGGACGCAGGGGCCUGAGCGCUUGCUUUACUAGGGUUGCUCUCUUCAUUCUCUCAUCCUCUCCAGAUAUAAACAAGACAGCGGUAGCGACAUUUUCUCUCUGCUCACAGCUGGUCACAGAUCCGGCCGGAUCCCUUCGGCUGGUGUGUGUAGAGGACUAAAAGGUGCAUCGUUCACGCGGUCAUCGCCGCCGAGGGAGGAAACCCACAGCUGCCGGAGGGGCCCGAUCCUCUGCCCGUGCCGUUCUCUCCGACACAGCGCCGGCUCGGGAGGUCCUCCGACCCUUCUUCCUCCCUGCCGUAUUGUCCGCAGAUCUGACCUACCGCUGCCAACAUCCCGGCGACCCUCAGGUAUAAGUUCUUCGAAAGCGGCCUUGCUCUACUGCCCCAGCUCCCCACGUGUCUGCAUGUGCAUCUUUUUCUACUCCCAUCAGCUCUUCCAAAGCCACCUAAAUUUUUAGUAUUAUUAGAGGUAAAGCUACUUCAUGCAUUUGAAUCUAGGGCUUUGUCCAAACAACGAAGAAAGGGGGAAAGUUGUAGCAUGAAUCUAGGACUUGAUUCAAAGAGGAAAUAAUAUGGUGAAAGUAGUAGAGACCGGAUAUCCAACCGGUCUCUUGGUUGAAAAGGGAAAUAAUGGGAAAACGCAGUACAAACUGGAUAAGGAAUAGAUCUAUUAUUGGUUGAAAAAAGGAUAGAAAGUGGCGGCUGGUGGACAAGUCAACAAAGUAUGUCCAGGAUUAGAUUUGCUGCCAUCACAUAGUAAAAGGUCUCCAGGAUUAGAUUUGCUGCCCUCACAUAGUAAAAGGUCUCAGGAUUAGAUUUGCUGCCCUCACAUAGUAAAAGGUCUCCAGAAUUAGAUUUGCUGCCCUCACAUAGUAAAAGGUCUCCAGGAUUAGAUUUGCUGCCCUCACAUAGUAAAAUGUCUCCAGGAUUAGAUUUGCUGCCCUCACAUAGUACAAGGUCUCCAGGAUUAGGUUUGUUGCCCUCACAUAGCAUGAACAAACUCGGCAUCACCACUUUAUGCCUCCUUGUAGGUACAUUGUGCUGAUGCGUCCACUGUCGCAUGUCCUUAUACCAACCUUUUGUUGUUGUUAAUGUAAGGGCGCAUGUAAAAUGAAGUGAUCACACUGUUACCUUAGGGACAUGUCUAACCAGUGUUAUAGUUAAUCUAAUGCCUCCAGUAAUAAGAUGCAAUUAAACUGUGUUACAAAUGGCACUCCUGCUGUUUUCCCCAGUAUGAUAAGUAAGUUGCUCCUUUACGCUGCUGAGUGUCCUGGUGUCCCCACGGUCCCAUGCCCUUAAACCAACUCUUUAGCUGCUGUUGAUUUAUGUGUCUGGUAAACAAGCAAUGCCACCAUUAAAGUAAUCCCAUAUUUGAGGAAUCUCAUUGUUGAUCGUAAUGCUUCUGGUAACAUGAAGCAUUGCUGACGUUUUAAAAUUUCUACUGUCCUUGCGUGAUUGCCAUGAACAUAAUUAAGAUGCUUCUUUUCAUUUUGUAUAUGUUUCGUAUAUUCUUAUUGACCAGCAACUGUUUACUUUCUAUCUUUUUGUGUAGAUAGGGAUAUCCAUUUGACCUUGUUGCUAUUGUGACCUUUUGGUGAACUGCACAAAACACUUUUUUGGAAUGAGUGUCUUGUGCAGUUCAACUAAAAUGUUACAUGGGCAACAUCUCUCAAUUUUGGUGGAACUGCACAAAAUGGUGAUUGGAGUUUCCAAAAUCUCCAUCAAAUUCUGCUGCUAAUCUCGUGCAACAUUUUAUUAGCCUUUGCAAGAUGAGCGGUAGCUGAAUGAUGCAAUGUUUGCUUCAUUUCAGGCGAACUGCAGAAAAAGUGGCAUGAAUUGAAUCAUCGAGUGGAGCUGCAGGUUGACUUCCACUAGUGCCACUAUUAUAGUAAUCAUGCUCUUUAUUAUCUGCGCUGUGCAAACAGGAAUACUCAACUACAGAUGUUGUGACGGUCAAGAGCAUUCGCCAAGUUCUUCGAUUGUAUGACAUGGCUAGCCAAGAUGGAUUUAAUCCCGAUAUUCACUUUAUCAAAAGGCUCUAAUGGGUUGGUUCUAAAUCCUGCAAGCUGGGAAUCAGUGAGAUGUGUAGGCAUCUUUGUUGUACUUAUUAUUUGAAUAUUAUUUGUUGGUUCUGAAUCUUGCAAGCUGGGAAUCAAUGAGAUGUGUAGGCAUCUUUGUUGUACUUAUUAUUUGGAUCUUAUUUGUUGGUUCUGAAUCUUGCAAGCUGGGAAUCAAUGAGAUGUGUAGGCAUCUUUGUUGUACUUAUUAUUUGGAUCUUAUUUGUUGGUUCUGAAUCUUGCAAGCUGGGAAACACGGCAUGAUGAUGCAGAGGACAACAACCAUAACAAACAGUUCAAACUUGGUAGUAUUAUCUUUGUGAAAGUGCGACAAAUGUGCUGAUCGUGAGCGUCUUGAGAAUAAUAAUUGUAAUUGUUGUGCAUGUUGAUCCUGUGGCACUGAUAGAACGAGCGAAUGCAUUGCUUGUUUUAAGUAUAAAUUUCUAUUAAAGCUAAUUAAAUUUAAGUAAAGUGACCACUAACUCCUGUUAUUACAGUACCAAUACAGACCCGCUAGUGAACCGAUGUGUAGCCGAGGGUGCAUCUUCUGCCGGGCGUGCAGCGGACGAGGGAGGGGUAGUAACUGUUGUCGCCUGUACACACUCAGCUUACUGUUGAAUCCAGUUCCCCAAGAGCUGAAAAACGAACUGAUGACGCCGCCUACACACUCGUUCACUCGAAGAGACUCCAAUGGCGAUCCGAGGGGUGAGCCUGCUAGAUAUGGACUUCAGCAAGGAGUUCCCCUUUGAGUUCGCCGUUCAGUCCUAUGGCUGCACCAAGUUGAAUGUGAUGUACACCAACGAUACGGACUCGGUGAAGCUCUGCCUCGCCUCAGUCCUAUGGCUGCACCAGGUUCUGGAGCAUUCGCCCGUUUCAUCGGCAGCGCCGACUGCACCUUCGCUACGGUGGAGAGAAGGAAGAACACGAUGAUUCGACCAUAUGGUGCAACAAGCUUGUCGACAUCCAGAAGCAAUACAAGAUCAUCAGCAAUGAGCAGGAGAAGGACUCCGUGGUUGACCUCGCUGAGACCAUCAUCGACCCCUGAUACGCCAACAUGAAAGAAGACGACCUGAACACGUGGGAGGUACCUCUGAAUCUAGCCUACAUAACCUACGCGGCCAAGGACACAUACGCAUGCUACGACAUGUACAGGCAGAUCUUGGACAUGAGGGCGUGUCUGCUUCCCGUAACCGACGAGUACACGGACAGCCGCAGCGUCAUGAUCAAGCGUGCCAGGAAGGUCUAGAUGUUGUACUUUAUCUGUUUAUAAGCAUCUUUAUCAUCUGAGUGUUUCAUGCAUUAGCCUAUGUGUCGUAAUUAUCUGUUUUGUCCGAAAUAUUUCUUUUAAGAACCCAUUAACCUGAUUGCUUUUUUAGUGGCUAUUUGCUUAUGUAUGUAAACUAGUUCACUUGUCCGUAAAAAAAACUAGUUCACUCGGCUGCCGUGCUUUGAAUCUCCUUCCUCCCAACAUAUUCCCCUCCUCAGGUGGACCCAGCAGGUCUCUGAAUUUUCUCCCACUUUCUUUUUCGAUGUAAACUGAGUUUUCUCCCAGUACUUUCCCCUAGAACCAACUCAACUGUCCCACAUCUAGCCUAAAAAAUAAUAAUACCCCACGUACUAUUAACUCAUCAAAUUAAAAUGAUAUUUUAUUUCGUAAGUUGAAAGUUCUUACAAAAUAAUUAUUAUUAUUAUUUAUAUAUAACUUGGCAAGUUAACUCCUAGUGAUUGCGUACAUAAGCUUGCAAAGAUUUUACUGACGUGCAAUCAUGUGUUUAUAUUUUUAUAACAUUUCUCCGUCUAGCCCAACAUGAUAUUUUCACCCAACCAAGCAAGUCCACGGAUUUCGAAAAAAAUGCAAAUGGGAUUUAAACGGGCUGCAUAGAUGCUACAUCAUUGUUUCACCCAGCCCACCAAAUGGACAAAAAAACAAAUGGACUGGCUGACAUGUGGGCCAGUAGGUCCAAGCCUAAGAAGGCGUUGGAUUUACAUCCAACGGCCGGCAUUCUUCUUCAAUCUCUCGUCUUCUUCCCCCAGCGCUGCCGGAACCACCUGCUCCAGCCUUCGGCGUCCAGCGGCGCUGUUUUGCGCUCCUCAGCGAAACGCUACCCCGCCGACAGCCAGGCCAUCCCUCCACUCCGCACCACCUGUUAUUCUUUGCCGAGUGUAGGCCCACCCCGCACCCGAACCAGUCAAGUUUCCCACUCCUCUCCAUCUGCGACUCCACUGCCGCGUCUUCCCCAUCUCCGGGUCGUUCCAGUCUGGGGCCUCGCCGUCGUCCACCGCCUCAGUGCGCUCGGCGCGGCGUGGUCAACAUACGAGAGUCAUCGGAAGAGGAAUGUACGUGGAGAGCCUGACGGCUAGGACCCACGAGGUCCAUGGUCGCACGCAAGGAAAGUUCCUCCUUAUUACGCACUGUACGUGCACUGUACGUGGGAAGGGCUUCUGUAUUUCGCGAAAAAAACAUUUCCCCCGCUGACAGGUCGGACCCACCAGCUAUAUCUUCGCACGCAAGGAAGUGCCUCCUUAUUGCGCACCAAAAAAUGAAUACCCCCUGCUAGCUGGGACCCACCAUAGUGGGUGGCUGACUUGUGGGCCUACUAAGUUGACGAGGACGGAGGGCUUUGCCAACUUAGACAAUAUGAACGAUUCUAGCUCCAGUGACCGUACGAUGUCCAUCCAACGGCCAUAGUGCUUCUUCAACCUCUGGUUUCUUCUUGCUCCAGCCGCCCAAAGCAGCGCCGGUCGUGCCGCGUGCUCCUGCCUCUCAUGGUCGGCUGUGAUGUCGCGGAGGCCUCACAGCCCCCUACUACUCCCACCGCUGCCCAGGGUAUCCCUCUACUCACCCAUACCCCCUGUUAUUCUGCGGCGACGGCAGCCUCACGCCGCAGCCGAACCAGUGAACCCUCGUACUCCUCUCCGCGUGGGCAUCCACUACCGCGUCUUCCCCGGCUCCGCGUCGUCCCCUUCCUAGGCCUCGCCGUCGUCUACCGCCUUGGUGCUCUCAGCGCGGCGUGGUCAAUGUGGUCAACGACCGACUUCCAUCGGAAGAGUACUGUACGUGGAGAGGCUGACAGCUGGGUCCACGGCCACAGCCCAGUUUUUUUGUGAUUUGCCAAGUAAGUCGCUUUGUCAGGCCUGUUGGGCUGCAAAUCUUUCAAGACGAGGAGAGCUUCAUUCGGCUGGCCGAGAAAAUGGCCUAUCAGUAAUGAGAAAUGGGAUGUACAUUUUUAAAACAUAUCAAACCGGCAAUUAGUUUCAAAUAUCUUUUUUUCAUUUCGAGAUUUUAAAUUACAUUAAUUUUUAUGCGUGGAGAAUUUGUUGGAUUUUAUAUUGAUAUACAUUUAUUUUUAAAAUCUGUUUGAAUGUGAGUCGAAAUUUCGGGAUUAAAAACAGUUCGGACCGCACCGAAAUAUGCAAAAUUUCGUAUAAUUUUUUAACCGUGGCCACAAUAUGGGCUGUAAUGCUAACAAAAAGAAUAUGGGCUCCAAAAAAAACCUUAAUAAUUAGCAAAUGGGCUGUAAAUUAUUAGAAAUAAUGACAGAUGGGAUGUAUGCUGUUUUCCACAGAUUUGAGGCUUUCCUAAAAAAAAGGUUGACGCACAAGCAGUGACUGUUGGAUGGCCAUCCAACGGCCGUCAUGCUUCUUCAAUCUCUGCUCUUCCUGCUCCAACCGCUCAAACAAGCGCCGGCGGGACUGCCUGCUCCCUCGUCCCCGCGGCCGGCUGUGCUGCCGCGCAGGCCUCACCGCCCCACCGUACUCCCAUCGCUGGCCUAGCCAUCCCUCUACUCACCCACACCUGCUGUUAUUCUCCGGCGACGGCAGACGAACCAGUAAACCCUCGUACAGUCGCACUCCCCUCCGCGUGGGAAAUAACUGUCGAGUCUUCCCUGCCUCCGUGUCGUUCCCUUCCUAGGCCUCGCCGUCGUCCACCGCCCUGGUGCUCUCGGCGCGGCCUGGUCAAUGUGGUCAACGACCGACAUGCAUCUGAAGUGGACUGUACGUGGAGAGGCCGGCAGCUGGGUCCACGGCCGCACGCAAGGAAAUGCCUUCUUAUUACGCGCAAAAUAAUGAUUCCUCCACCUGACAUCAGGGACCCACCGAAAGGGCCUCUGUAUUUCGUGAAAACACAUUACCGUUGCUGACAGCUCGGACCCACCAGCUAUAUCUUCGCACGCAAGGAAGUGCCUCCUUAUUACGCACACAAAAAAUGAAUACUCCCCCUGUUAGCUGGGACCCAGUAUAGUGGCAGGCUGACUUGUGGGCCUACUAAGUUGACGGGGACGGAGGGCUUUGUCAACUUAGUCAAUAUGCACGAUUCUAGCUCCAGUGACCGUACAAUGUCCAUCCAACGACCGUAGUGCUUCUUCAACCUCUGGUCUUCUUGCUCCAGCCGCCCAAACCAGCGCCUGUCGUGCCUCGUGCUUCUGCCUCCCGUGGCCGGUUGCGAUGCGGCGGAGGCCUCACCGCCCCCUACUACUCCCACCGCUGGCCAGGCCAUCCCUCUACUCACCCACACCCCCUGUUAUUCUGCGGCGACGGCAGCCUCACACCGCAGCGAACCAGUGAACCCUCGUACUCCUCUACGCGUGGGCAUCCACUGUCGCGUCUUCCCCGGCUCCGCGUCGUCCCCUUGCUAGGCCUCGCCGUCGUCCACCGCCCUGGUGCUCUCGGCGCGGCGUGGUCAAUGUGGUCAAGGAACGGCUUCCAUCGGACGUGGACUGUACGUGGAGAGGCUGACAGCUGGGUCCACGGCCGCAGCAAGGAAGUGCCUCCUUAUUACAUGCAAAAUAAUUAUUACUCCACCUGACAGCUGGGACCCACCGGACGGGCCACCGUAUUUUGCAAAAAAAUGUUUGCCCCUGGCUGCUGGGACCCACCAGCUACAUCUUCGCACGCAAGGAAGUGCGUCCGGGCAAAAACAACAAUUCGCCCCCCUGGCUGCUGGGACCCACCAGCUACAUCUUCGCAGGCAAGGAAGUGCCUGACAGUCGGGACCCACCUGGUCGAAGGGUACGUAGCGUUGUCAUUCUGGUCGCGAACGUGUACGUACAUAUAUACUGGUGGAUGUAGAGGCGCGCACGUGUCGUAGUAGAGGCGCGUACGUGUCCUAGUAGAGGCGCGCACGUAGCAUGUACACGUACGUACAGCGGCCAGGGUGCAAGAAAGAAAAUACGGCCACGUAUGUGUAUAUACGGGCGGGGUCUCGAACGCCUACUCGCGCAUACGUACGGCCAGGGCUCGUGUACAUGGCUGGGUCGGAACAGAGAAACAGCGUCGUCGUCGUGUUCAUGGGGAGGCAACGGAAUGCGUCGUGUUCAUCGAGAGGCAAUGGAACGCGUGGGAGCCAACCGGCUGGGUCGGAACGGAAUGCGUCCUCGUGUUCAUCGGGAGGGCUUGGACGGAACAGCCGAUGGAAAUGUGGCCUGGCGUACCGCAGAACGGAGGAAACGGCCUUGUGUUCGACCAGCCACGUUUGAAACGGGAUCCUGUUCAUCGGGAGGGGUCUGGCGUACCGCAAAACGGAGGAAACGGACCUCCUACGGUCGAAACGGUGGUCCUGUUGAUCGGGAGGGGUGUGGCAUACCGCAAAACGGAGGAAACGGACUUGUGUUGGAGCGCUACGGUCGAAACAGGGGUCCUGAUCAUCGGGGGGGUGUGGCAUACCGCAAAACGGGACUCCACGGGACACUGUUCAUCUCCACCGUCGACCCCCUCCAGCCUCCACGGGCUACUGUUCAUCCACCGUCGACCUCCUCCAGCCUUCACCUGCGACUGUUCAUCCACGGGCUCCUGUUCAUCCAGCCUCCACCACGCGCUACUCCACCGGCUACUGUUCAACUAGCCCUCUCCACGGGCUCCCGUUCAACCACCCCUCCACGGGCUACUGUUCAUCCAGCCCUCCACCGUCUACUGUUCAUUCUGCCCUCCACGGGGUGGUCCUGUUCAUCCUGCCCUCCACGGGGUCCUGUUCAUCCAGCCCCAACCGGCUCGAUCGAUCGGGGUCCUGUUCAUCCAGAGGCAACACCACGGGGUCCUGUUCAUCCACCCCCACCGGGAACUGUUCAUCCAAACNNNNNNNNNNNNNNNNNNNNNNNNNNNNNNNNNNNNNNNNNNNNNNNNNNNNNNNNNNNNNNNNNNNNNNNNNNNNNNNNNNNNNNNNNNNNNNNNNNNNNNNNNNNNNNNNNNNNNNNNNNNNNNNNNNNNNNNNNNNNNNNNNNNNNNNNNNNNNNNNNNNNNNNNNNNNNNNNNNNNNNNNNNNNNNNNNNNNNNNNNNNNNNNNNNNNNNNNNNNNNNNNNNNNNNNNNNNNNNNNNNNNNNNNNNNNNNNNNNNNNNNNNNNNNNNNNNAGCAUCGAUCGGCUUCAGUUAGCAGCAGUAGCGAAGGAAUCGCUCGAUCGGGUUCAGUUAACAGCCAUCGAUCGAUCGCUCGGGUUCAGUAACGCGUAGCCUACAGUGCAAUCGCUCGGGUUCAGUUAGAGCCCAACGCCUCGCUCGGGUCCAGUUAGAGCCAACGACUCACACACACGCGCGUACGUGUACGAGAGAAACGCGCAUCGCUCGGCCCCCGACCUCCCACCGUAACCGGGAACUCCCCGAAAUUUUCCUCGCCCUCGCUUCUAUCAUGUUUUUUUCCGUCAUGGACGGCCCAAAGAAUGUAAUGCAGCUGCGUCUCCGGCCCGCCCAGGACGAAAAGCCCAUUUUUUGUCAUAGAAGUAGGAGCCCACCACAUCUAUGAUGAUACCGGGUUUUGUCACAAUUAUCGUCAUAGAAGUGUCAUAUGUAUGACAGAAAAAAAAUUCGUUCGGCCCAAAGUGUCACGGAUGUGUCUUUUUUUUGUAGUGCGGUGAGAUCGAGGACCGCGAGGAACCGUGCAUGGGGGGACAGAGGAACUAUUGUAGCUAGAUAAUUUUUUAUUCUAUCUGUGAUCUUAAUUUCUAGACAGCCACAACAACCUCACUUUGCUAGAGGAGUGAAUGCACAAUCCCACUAAGACUCAUAUAGUUCAUUUAAUAAAACAUAUAGCAAGCUAAGUUAAUAACUAUCUCUAGGUGCUACAUCUACAUACCAUCCACCUUGUUGAGUUGUGAUCUCAUUUAUUUCUUCCUACCGCCUAUUGCGCGUGUGUAUAUGGCUAUAUAUAUCGCUCACAUCCGACAUGGUUUAUACAAGCACCCAAGAAGGUAACCAACACGGAUAGUGNNNNNNNNNNNNNNNNNNNNNNNNNNNNNNNNNNNNNNNNNNNNNNNNNNNNNNNNNNNNNNNNNNNNNNNNNNNNNNNNNNNNNNNNNNNNNNNNNNNNNNNNNNNNNNNNNNNNNNNNNNNNNNNNNNNNNNNNNNNNNNNNNNNNNNNNNNNNNNNNNNNNNNNNNNNNNNNNNNNNNNNNNNAUAUGCAACACGUGUUGUACGACGCACACAUUAGAUGUGGGAGGUAUUAGGAAAAGAUCAGCGUGUAGAUAGUUCAGUGCUAGCGAUGCAUCUAGUCUGCACCAUCAGCAUUCAAUGUGGUGAUGCAUAUCGAUACAAAUGAUAGAAUGGCACACAAAAUGAUUUUGAAGUUGAACCCAAAGUCGUCAUUCUAGACUCUAGAGAUUGCAACUGUGAUAUCUACGCAAUUCAAGAACUAUAUCACCCAAUCCUUAAUGAAAGAACUUUUACAUGUGUGUAAACAUUUUCUUUUAGAAACUCACAAAUCUUAAUUCAAUAUAUAUAAUUUUUUAUUGCAUGUAUAUCUUUUUGGAUUUUUAUUCUUUUCAUUAAUGAAUAUUGGUUUUGAAUUGAUAUUUGUAUCAUACUAUUCAAAAUAGUAAACAUGAAGAAAUCUUUCAAUUGACGGCCAAAUAUGAAAUGAUAGAUAUAUUUUUUUCCUAACUUUUAAAAUAGUUGUUAGGAAUUUAUUUUUUAACAAUGCAAGAUAGGCGCUUCGUCAAUUUCAUUAAGACAAGAAAAAAAGGAGCUACGGAAACUACAUGACGGUUGUCAUAGCCAACCUAUGCUGCUCAAGGUCCACUUUUACAAGAAACACAACAUCAAUCACAAUGAGGAGGGAGGGGUUCCGAAAAAUAUGACGCUAACACAUGGUACUCCCUCCAUUUCUUUUUUAGCCUGCAUAUAAAAUUUGGUCAAAGUAAAACUCUAUAAAGUUUGAUUAACUUUAUAUUGAACAAUGUCAACAUUCAAAAAAUGAAAUCCAUAUUAUUAGAUGCAUUAUGAAAUGAAUUUUCAUACUAUAUAAUUUUGUAGAUGUUGAUAUUUUUAAUAUAAAUUUGGUCAAACUUCGCGUAGUUCGACUUCAAACAAAUUUUACAUGCGGAGUAAAAAGAAACGGAGGGAGUACAUGAGAAUCUUGCUAAAAGUUGCACUUUAUUGAGUCAAGGAGUUGAAUGUGCUCGUUUCACCAUACCUCCAGGGAGGUGAAAACUGACGUUAGGUUUGUAAUGAACGAAAGCUAGCCCGCAACUAUGCCCCAAACGCCCCAAAUAAAACGGCAUCCACACAGGAGGUGCGUGUUAGUUUCAAACUCUAUGAGGCACAGGCUACACACCUCCUCAAGAGGCCAACCCCGGACAUUGUGACGAUCCACGAUAAGAGCUUUUCGAUGCAGAAGGGGCCAAAUAAAGAGCUUGCACUUGGGUGCGGCGCUUACCUCCCACGUCUUCUUUACCUCCACUUAGGUUUAGCUACCUUCUAGAAGAGUACGUGGAUCGGAGGGUCACCGCUAUGCACGGCCUCCCCGGCACUCUUCAGACACGCGCGGCGCGAAAGCAGAAUUGUGGCUGAGGCCUUAAAUAAUGAUUAGUGGAUUCUUGAUCUAGAGCAUGGAAACAGAACGGAAAUCAUGGCCGACUUUCUGAGACUGUUGCUCUUGUUGCACAAUACAAACAUACAUAUCAACGAAAAUGAGAGCGCGACGGAAUCAAAUGGAUAGAGGGAAAGGAGGGCUGUUACUCUGCAAGCUCUGCCUACAAAAUGCAGUUUCAGCAGACCGUGCCGACCAGCUUUAAACCUCUGAUCUGGAAGGUUUUGGCCCCUGGAAAAGUGAAGAUGUUUAUGUGGUUGUUGCACAACAACGGACUGAUCGUUGGCAGAGGAGAGGAUGGCCCAAUGAGUAUUUUUGCCCGCUUUGUCUCCCAAACUUGGAAACUUUCAUGCACCUCAUAUGGAGAUGAAGCAUAUUUCAUUAUGGAAUUAUGUAAGUGGUUUUCAUAAUAUUUUAUUUAAAACUAGUAUGUAUGUACAAUUUUAAGUAGAAAUAAGUGUAUUAAUGGUUGCAUCAGUAGGCGGCCAAAGCGUGGAUCGUGCUUCUACCCGCAAACAAACUAUGUAGUGGAUCGUGCUUCCGAGGGCAUGGCCAUCAGCUAUCCAGCUCAUAUGAACAUGCUGCUUGCUAGUAGACCAAAAGCGGGCUCCUGCAGAAGAACCCGUCUCUUGGCUGACAAAAGCGAGAGAAAGGGGAAAAAGCAAGAGAAAGCCUCGUGCCCCUUACUCGAGUAAAUAAUAUAGGAUGGGUCCCACUAAGAGGGUGGCCAGCGUUGAGUAAUCAAUGUCACAACGGUGGUCUCGUCUUCUCUAGAGAUGGAGUGCACUGGGGCAGCACCUGGUGCUGCUACCAUUGCUCAUGCCCUGAGUUCUGACGAUCAGACUAGGCUCACGGCAGUAGUACGCCACAAACGCCCAUCACUGCACGGCACGCACAGCCGAUGGAGAUGGCCGACCACCUGCAGCUGCAACAACGAGUGUCGCCGCCCCACCACCGGCCCUCCCGUGCUGCCACGAAGUCCCGGACACGUGUACUGCCUGCCUCCGUGCUACUGCUACAGCUACAGCGAGAUGGACCCUGAACUUCGAACCGGAUUCAGACUGAACUAAUACGCCAAGGUUUGAGGGAGCGGUCGCAUCUCUGUUUCACUUUCACGCAGAUUAGCUUUCGGACAGAACGCACAUUAGCACUGACAAAUCACAGGCAGUAACAACAAGAACAAGAUUGCGAGCUGCAAUCCAUUCCAACCAGAUCCACCACCAACAUCGAUGACACACCAACCCAAACAUUCACAAGGACCAUACUAAUCUAAUCUAAAACUCCUGGGAAGCGGAGCCGAUGUCGCCCUUGCCCUUGCCGGCCUUCUUGGGGAGCAGCGUGGUGUGGAUGCUGGGCAGCACCCCGCCGGCGGCGAUGGUGACCGAGCCCAGCAGACGGCUCAGCUCCUCGUCGUUGCGCACCGCCAGCUGGAUGUGGCGCGGCACGAUGCGGUUCUUCUUGUUGUCCCGCGCCGCGUUGCCGGCGAGCUCCAGGGUCUGAAUCAGAGAAACAAGAAACUGUGAGAUUGAGGAACAGUGCGCGCGGGGAACAGAGUUACAAGAAAAGGGGGAAAGGAGGAGCCGGGGAGAGGACGCGUACCUCUGCGGCGAGGUACUCAAGGACGGCGGCGAGGUAUACGGGGGCGCCGGCGCCGACGCGCUGCGCGUACUUGCCGACCUUGAGGUACCUGGCGACGCGGCCGACGGGGAACUGGAGGCCGGCCUUGGACGACCGGGACACGGACUUCGCGGUGGCUGCGGGCUUCGCCUUGCCCCUCCCACUGCCGGCAAUGGCCAUCUUCGGAUUCGCGGUGUACGGUGGAGGCGCUGGUGCGGUUGUCGGAGCAGAGAUGGCCGGGAUCUGGGAGAUGGCGGAGGGCGCAGGGUGUGCUUGAGAUGGUUGAGCAGAGGGGGCGGUGUUAAAUUAUAAAGAGAAGGGGAGGCGGCUCGUGAUUGGUUGGGAGGGCGAGGCCGCGGAUCGGUGACGUGGAGGGCGGAGGCAGAAACUUC
This 35541-nucleotide long non-coding RNA is filed under the name Triticum aestivum (bread wheat). RNAcentral describes it as "long non-coding RNA (TAES_LNC018506)". The record is from RNAcentral. Lineage: Eukaryota; Viridiplantae; Streptophyta; Magnoliopsida; Poales; Poaceae.